CUACGGGAGGCUCCAGUGAGGAAUAUUGCACAAUGGGGGGAACCCUGAUGCAGCAACGCCGCGUGGAGGAUGACGCAUUUCGGUGUGUAAACUCCUUUUAUAUGUCAAGAAAAUGACGGUAGCAUAUGAAUAAGCACCGGCUAACUCCGUGCCAGCAGCCGCGGUAAUACGGAGGGUGCAAGCGUUACUCGGAAUCACUGGGCGUAAAGGACGCGUAGGCGGGCUGGAAAGUCAGGUGUGAAAUCCUACAGCUUAACUGUAGAACUGCACUUGAAACUUCUAAUCUAGAGUAUGGGAGGGGGAGAUAGAAUUAGUGGUGUAGGGGUAAAAUCCGUGGAUAUCACUAGGAAUACCUAAAGCGAAGGCGAUCUCCUGGAACAUUACUGACGCUAAGGCGUGAAAGCGUGGGGAGCAAACAGGAUUAGAUACCCGAGUAGUC
Molecule: ribosomal RNA, 439 nt
Filed under: uncultured bacterium
Lineage: Bacteria
Description: partial 16S ribosomal RNA
Rfam family: Bacterial small subunit ribosomal RNA
Source: RNAcentral